UGGAUGAAGGUUUGCCGAGAGCUU
RNAcentral lists this non-coding RNA (24 nucleotides) under Mus musculus (house mouse). The record is from RNAcentral. Lineage: Eukaryota; Metazoa; Chordata; Mammalia; Rodentia; Muridae.